CAAACAUACCUAAACCUAAUUCAGUUUUCUCUUUCUUCCAUCCAGCCUUCCUCUCUCCUUCCCUCCCUUUUGCUUACAAGUUCCAGCCUUCCUCUCUCCCUCCUCCAUAAUCAGAUUCAUGAAUCAAGACAAACGUGCGGUCGUCUCUCUACGAAAUCGCGCGUCUGCUUGCUCACGAAAUCGCUCGCUGCGGCCAAUCGUUCGUCUGCCUGACUGCCUCUGUCCGUGGCCAUUCGUCGCUGCCUCUCUACUCGCCGCAACCUCAUCAGUCAUCUGUCUCUAGAUCUCGUUGCUGCUUUGUUCAAAAUGUUCGAAUUUCUAUUUUGUUAUCGCUGAUUGUUGUUAGUUAGUGUUUUUUUGUUAGGUUUGAUUUUUGUUAGCAUAAAAUUUAAAGCUUAUAUUGUUAUUGUUGAGUUUAGAGUUUUGAUUUGGAGUUUGAAAUUUUGAUUUGGAAUUUUAAUUAGCUGAUUUUUGUUUAGAGUUUUUGUGUUGCACAUGAGUUGUUUGAGUUUAUGUCAAUAUAAAGUGUUAUGAGUU
This 537-nucleotide long non-coding RNA is filed under the name Cicer arietinum (chickpea). Its description in RNAcentral is "long non-coding RNA (CARI_LNC001168)". Lineage: Eukaryota; Viridiplantae; Streptophyta; Magnoliopsida; Fabales; Fabaceae. The record is from RNAcentral.